GGACUACAAGGGUAUCUAAUCCCGUUCGCUACCCUAGCUUUCGCGCAUCAGCGUCAGAAGAGGUCCAGCACGUCGCUUUCGCCACCGGCGUUCCUUCCGAUAUCAACGCAUUUCACCGCUCCACCGGAAGUUCCACAUGCCCCUACCUCACUCAAGACAGCCAGUAUCAAAGGCCAUUUUCCGGUUGAGCCGAAAGAUUUCACCCCUGACUUGACCGCCCGCCUACGCGCCCUUUAAGCCCAGUGAUUCCGAACAACGUUUGCACGGUUCGUCUUACCGCGGCGGCUGGCAC
RNAcentral lists this ribosomal RNA (292 nucleotides) under uncultured bacterium. RNAcentral describes it as "partial 16S ribosomal RNA". The record is from RNAcentral. RNAcentral also lists the same sequence under 2 other names.